Molecule: non-coding RNA, 106 nt
Organism: Jatropha curcas
Lineage: Eukaryota; Viridiplantae; Streptophyta; Magnoliopsida; Malpighiales; Euphorbiaceae
Source: Rfam
AUUUGAUGAUGAGGGUAGCUUGCACAAAGCUUUUGAACCAUUCCCAAUACUCAUACAAACUCUCUUCAUUGUAUUGUCGAAUGCCACAAAUUUCUUUUCUUAUGUU